GAUGAACGCUAGCUACAGGCUUAACACAUGCAAGUCGAGGGGAAACGCCAUCGAAAGCUUGCUUUUGAUGGGCGUCGACCGGCGCACGGGUGAGUAACGCGUAUCCAACCUGCCCAUCACUUGGGAAUAACCUUGCGAAAGUAAGACUAAUACCCAAUGACAUCCCACGAAGACAUCUGAAUGGGAUUAAAGAUUUAUCGGUGAUGGAUGGGGAUGCGUCUGAUUAGCUUGUUGGCGGGGUAACGGCCCACCAAGGCAACGAUCAGUAGGGGUUCUGAGAGGAAGGUCCCCCACAUUGGAACUGAGACACGGUCCAAACUCCUACGGGAGGCAGCAGUGAGGAAUAUUGGUCAAUGGGCGAGAGCCUGAACCAGCCAAGUAGCGUGCAGGAGGACGGCCCUAUGGGUUGUAAACUGCUUUUAUAAGGGAAUAAAGUGGGUCUCGGGAGACUUUUUGCAUGUACCUUAUGAAUAAGGACCGGCUAAUUCCGUG
This 492-nucleotide ribosomal RNA is filed under the name uncultured bacterium. RNAcentral's name for it is "partial 16S ribosomal RNA". It matches the Rfam family "Bacterial small subunit ribosomal RNA", at positions 28 to 507 of the family's 1533-position model. The record is from RNAcentral.